RNAcentral lists this ribosomal RNA (301 nucleotides) under uncultured bacterium. RNAcentral's name for it is "partial 16S ribosomal RNA". It matches the Rfam family "Bacterial small subunit ribosomal RNA", at positions 509 to 807 of the family's 1533-position model. The record is from RNAcentral.
CAGCCGCCGCGGGAAAACGUAGGGUGCAAGCGUUAAUCGGAAUUACUGGGCGUAAAGCGUGCGCAGGCGGUUAUAUAAGACAGAUGUGAAAUCCCCGGGCUCAACCUGGGAACUGCAUUUGUGACUGUAUAGCUAGAGUACGGCAGAGGGGGAUGGAAUUCCGCGUGUAGCAGUGAAAUGCGUAGAUAUGCGGAGGAACACCGAUGGCGAAGGAAAUCCCCUGGGCCUGUACUGACGCUCAUGCACGAAAGCGUGGGGAGCAAACAGGAUUAGAGACCCGUGUAGUCCCUGUCUCUUAUAC